UCCGACGACUCCUUCUCCACCGCCACCCCGACGUCCUCCUCCUCCUCCGCCGCCGCCAUCUUCUCGUACCUCUUCUUCCUGCUCGGCCUCCUCCUCGCCGCCGCCGCCGCCGACGACGACGACGACGACGACGACGACUUCCCGUGGUUGUUCGUCGUCACCGUCACCGGCGCCGCCGCCGCCGCCGCCGCCUUCCCGUAGUACGGGUACUGGUUGGUGGCGGAGGAGGAGGAGUACGUGGUGGUGUAGGUGGCGGCGGAGGACGACGAGAACGACGCGGUGGACGCCGACGAGGGGAAGAAGGAGGAGGAGUGCGAGCUCGUGCUCCUCGGCACCGGCGGCUUCAGGGCCGACGGCCGGAGAAACGACGGGAGGCUCAUCAGCAGCUGCCUCGGCCGGCGAGGCCGGCAGCCGC
RNAcentral lists this long non-coding RNA (415 nucleotides) under Oryza sativa (Asian cultivated rice). RNAcentral's name for it is "long non-coding RNA (OSAT_LNC000095)". The record is from RNAcentral. Lineage: Eukaryota; Viridiplantae; Streptophyta; Magnoliopsida; Poales; Poaceae.